GAUGAACGCUGGCGGCGUGCCUAAUACAUGCAAGUCGAGCGAACAGAUGAGGAGCUUGCUCCUCUGACGUUAGCGGCGGACGGGUGAGUAACACGUGGAUAACCUACCUAUAAGACUGGGAUAACUUCGGGAACCCGGAGCUAAUACCGGAUAAUAUAUUGAACCGCAUGGUUCAAUAGUGAAAGACGGUUUUGCUGUCACUUAUAGAUGGAUCCGCGCCGCAUUAGCUAGUUGGUAAGGUAACGGCUUACCAAGGCAACGAUGCGUAGCCGACCUGAGAGGGUGAUCGGCCACACUGGAACUGAGACACGGUCCAGACUCCUACGGGAGGCAGCAGUAGGGAAUCUUCCGCAAUAGGCGAAAGCCUGACGGAGCAACGCCGCGUGAGUGAUGAAGGUCUUCGGAUCGUAAAACUCUGUUAUUAGGGAAGAACAAAUGUGUAAGUAACUAUGCACGUCUUGACGGUACCUAAUCAGAAAGCCACGGCUAACUACGUG
Molecule: ribosomal RNA, 497 nt
Filed under: uncultured bacterium
Lineage: Bacteria
Description: partial 16S ribosomal RNA
Rfam family: Bacterial small subunit ribosomal RNA
Source: RNAcentral